GACCAUAUUGCAAAAACUGGUCAACAAAGUAGAUCACAACUUCUCUCCAACAAGCAACCAAAUAAAUGUGUGCCGGGACAAUGUUUUACUAUGCAGCCUGCGGGCGUUUAAACGGAAGUCCUUCGACCCUGAAGCAAAACUGGAUGUUGUCUUUGUGGAUGAAGAUGACAAUGGUGAAGGGGCAGUUGACGAAGGCGGCCCGACCAGAGAGUACCUAAGGCUGUUGAUGAGGGCCGUCCACCAAUCAAACAUCUUUGAUGGACAUGAGAAAGACCGGCAGUUGCGUCUUGAUACUCAAGCUUUACAGAGUAAACUGUACACCUGGGUGGGGAAAAUGAUUGCUGUGUGCGUCAUUGAGGAGUUGGUCCACAUUUCUUCUCGGAAAGGCUUUUCCAGCAAAUCUGUGGAGUAGAAACGACCCCGGCCACGGUCGAUGAAGUUGGCGACCAUACUUUUAGGCAGCAGUUGAUGAAAAUACAGGAAGCAACAACAGUCGGAGAGGCAAACGACACAAUUACAGAGGCAGCAGAUAGUCUCAAUAUUGUAGGGGCCUUGAGACAUGUGUCCACCCUUGAAGAGAAGGACUCCCUUGUCAAGUCAGCUGCUGACUUCUUUGUAAACGGCAGAUUGGCGACUGCCCUGGACCAGUAAGUAAUUGCCUCACCUGUCUUAUCUGUCCGAAAAAUUAAACUGUCAAUAGCCCAGGACAACUCACACUAUGGCACAUGUUUUCAUAGGUUUGCUGAUGGG
Gadus macrocephalus (Pacific cod) is the source of this 750-nucleotide long non-coding RNA. RefSeq lists it as uncharacterized. Lineage: Eukaryota; Metazoa; Chordata; Actinopteri; Gadiformes; Gadidae. The transcript is spliced from 3 exons. The record is from RefSeq and is a predicted model, not a curated record.